RNAcentral lists this long non-coding RNA (877 nucleotides) under Homo sapiens (human). RNAcentral describes it as "HSALNT0301631". Lineage: Eukaryota; Metazoa; Chordata; Mammalia; Primates; Hominidae. The record is from RNAcentral.
GGGCCAAAUAAGGGAAUAUAAGCAGGCCACCCAAGCCAGCAGAAGCAACCUGCUUGGGUCACCUUCCACCCUGUGGAGGGUUUGUUCUUUUGCUCUUCCCGGUAAAUCUUGCUGCUGCUCACUUGUUGGGUUCACACCACCUUUAUGAGCUGUAACACUUACCAAGAAGGUCUGCAGCUUCACUCUUGAAGUCAGCAAGACCAGGAACCCACCAGGAGGAACAAACAACUCCGGAUGCAUUGCUUUUAUGAACUGUAACAAUCAUAGUGAAGAUCUGCAGAUUCACUCCUGGAGUCAGCGAGACCGUGAACCCACCAGAGGGAGGAAACUCUGGAUACGUCUGAACAACAGAAGGAACAAACCCCAGCCACACCAUCAUUAAGAACUGUAACACCGUGAGGGUCCGCGGCUUCAUUCUUGAAGUGAGAGAGACCAAGAACCCACCAAUUCCAGACACAAUAUACUGUCUCUCAAUUGUAAAACUCAAGUAUAAGCAACAGCUUAAGCCAGAGAAAUUUUCAUGAAAUGAUAAUGUAGGUGUUGGUCUAAAUUCCUCUGUGGGACUUAGCAGGGUGCAUCUUUGCACUGUCCUUGGCAGGGAGGAUUCAAAGUGCUCCCCAUGCGUUCUGGAGUUAGUCCAUUAGUGCUGACAACUCCUAUACAUUAUCUGUUUGUACUGAAUACAUGGGAAAGGUCUGAAGACUGUCCACAUGUGAACAAAAGAAAUAACUAAGUCCUAUAUAACAAACCUUGAUAACAUCCCUAAAAAAAUAAGAGGUCUCCAUCCUCAAAAUGCCAGCCUCAGGUGACUGAAUAAACAAAAUUUCCAGAUGUUGAAACUGGCCCAAUUGUCUCAGAACUGAUAUUUAUGGUUUCU